AGCAGUCGCCGCGGUAAUACGAAGGGUGCAAGCGUUACUCGGAAUUACUGGGCGUAAGCGUGCGUAGGUGGUGGUUUAAGUCCGUUGUGAAAGCCCUGGGCUCAACCUGGGAAUUGCAGUGGAUACUGGGUCACUAGAGUGUGGUAGAGGAUAGUGGAAUUUCCGGUGUAGCAGUGAAAUGCGUAGAGAUCGGAAGGAACAUCUGUGGCGAAGGCGACUAUCUGGGCCAACACUGACACUGAAGCACGAAAGCGUGGGGAGCAAACAGGAUUAGAUACCCCCGUAGUCCCUGUCUCUUAUACA
Molecule: ribosomal RNA, 303 nt
Filed under: uncultured bacterium
Lineage: Bacteria
Description: partial 16S ribosomal RNA
Rfam family: Bacterial small subunit ribosomal RNA
Source: RNAcentral